AUGCAUAUGCAUGGGUAUGAGUGGGAGGAAGGCAGGGAACAGCCAGCUAGAAGAAAUCAAAAGAUAUGUGGGUUAGUUGACCCUGGCACUUUGCCCAACCGUGAGCAAACGACGGCACCCACCCGCCCCCACCAGCCGCCGGCCUCCGCCGCUGGUCACUCCGGCCGCGGCGGCCACCAACAAUCUCCUCGUCGGCGUCCUCCCGUCGACGGUCACAUCUUCCUUUGCUCCCGCUCCAAAUCAGACCCUUUCCUCCAGUACCAGGUUCUAUCCGAUCAUUGCUUCAUCAUGUCUUUGGCAGACCUAAACUUUGAUAAAGGUCAAGAUUUUGCUGCUGAGAUCUGGCAGAAAUGGGGUGUACCAAUCAACUACGAGGAAGAUAAAGAUAUGGAGGAAUUUCUGUUGGUUGCUGAAUUUACUAGAUCCCAAAUCCGGCUUUCUGCAGAAUCAGUCAGUACCAUCCUACUCUCAUGUUUCGGUGGUCGUGCAUCAUUAUUCAAAGUAUCUCAGCUUCAGAAUUGGUCAUUCAAGUUCUCAGUCUCCUCAAAAGAAGUGGGUUUCUCUAUCAUCAAACAAGGUAACAUUGCCUUACCACUGCUCAAUGUUAAUUUCUUACUUUGGGGUAAUGGUGGCCCAAAUUCUAGCUGGGAACUAGAUCAAUAUCUCCAAGAGAAAGCAGACGAAUGGACACAUGUGUUCAGCAGGCAUCCAAGGAAAUCCUAUAUCGAUGCUCUCAUAUCUCCAGGAAUCUACAUUGAUCAAACGCCGAGGCAAACAUCCAAUGCGGUUGAUCCGUGGAAUUCAAAUGUGACGGCAUCCCCGGGCACUAAUGACAUUCAUCGUCAUUACACUAGCAAUCAAGCGGCACCCAUCAAUACAGUGGGAUCACCUCCAUUUCAAACCAGGCCCAAAGGCCCAUUCUGCGUCCGAUGCCUUAUGACCGGCCACGUCCGGCCCAACUGCACCAACAAAAUAAAAUGUAGAGCAUGUAAGAGAUGGGGCCAUAUUGCCCGUGACUGUUAUUCUCAGGCCCAACAAGGAUUCUCCUGCGAGCCCACUCCACCGCCCCUCUCGUUUGGUAUUCCGAGGCACAAUCCCACUGUUCUCGCGAUGGCGACGACAAGUAAUGUCAAUCAGCCACCCAGUCAAAAUGUGGCACCUGCUAUCACGCCGUCCCUUACCAGAGUAGGUUCUCUCCAUUACUCCGCCUCUCGGCCUUCCAUUGCUCAACGUCUUCUCUCUGCUUCAUUCGCAUCACCGUCGCGGAUUCCUCUCGCCACCUCAUCCAACUCCACGGCAAUGGCGACAUUCCCUUUCGACCCCACCCCUUUCCUCCCACCAAAUCAUCACAGUAUUGAGGUGGAAGGAAGGCCGGCUAGGGUUCGUGUUGUGACGGCUGCUCCUCCACCAACUCAUGAGGAUUGGGCGAUUGUAUCAAUUGUCCCAAUGCCUAAUCUCCCGGUUCAUUUCAACACCAUCCGCGAGGUACUCACAGAUUUUUUCACUGAUAUGCAACUGGGAAUCUCUGAAUUCGCCCCCUGUCCAUUUGGUCAAGCUUAUGUGAAGUUCAACAGUGUCUUUGACCGUGACCAUUUGGUAAACACCAGUCCGCAUCUCUACACUGAUGUUCAUAUUGUUGUGCAAAAGCAUGAUAGAGGUCUGAACUGGAGAAGAUUGGAUCUGAACAGAGAAGCAUGGAUUCUGCUCUGUGGGUUCCCGUUUGAUAGGAGGAAUAUCCAGGAGAUUAAUAAUACUAUUAGUAAGUUUGGAAAGUUUGUGAUGUGGGAUCGAGUGAGGAGUACUAGAGCCAACCAAUUGAUCAAGAUCAAAGUGGAGGAAUUAAGCGACAUCCCAGCUAGUGUUGUAUUUGGCAACGCUGAUAGUACUGAUUCUCUGACAGUGCCUGUGGUCAUUCUUCAGCAUCAGUUGCUGGGGAUGGAAGCACCAGAUGAAGAUCCAAUCCCACCACAUGGAAAUCCUCACCCACAUCCACCACAUGCAAAUUUUCACCAAAACCAGCAUAACCACUUCCUGGGACCACUACAGCAUCAUGAACAACCUAUUGUUCAGGACCCUGCUAUCAUCCAACAGGUCAAUCUGCAGCUUGCACUGAACAAUGAACCCUUACAGCAUGCUAACCAGCAAGAGGAGUUAGAAGAUGAGGGAGAUGAUGAACUACCAGGAUGGGGCCAUUGGGCUCUACCUCAGGUGAAUCAGGUUGUGCAACCAGAAGGUAUUCUUGAACCAGUUAUUCCCAUGGAUGAUGCAGAGCUGCCUGCUGCUGAAGCAGAGGUCAUAAGCAAUGUCACUAUUUCCCUUGGCCUAACAGACAGUGCACACUCUUUUUCAUCUGCUAAUGGCCCUUUGGAGCCACCAGUUCAACUUCUUGCAGAUUUGAAUGUGAUGGUGGGCCACAAUGAUAAUGACCCUAUGGAGGCCCAGGAGGAUAUCUUGGCCCAGCAACAGCACAUGCUCAUGGGCCCAGUCAUGGUGCCAAUUCUUGAAGCCCAACCCAUUAUUGAUCACAGUCUUCAAGCAUUGCUUCUGCUACAAGUGUACACUGAUGACCACAGAGAAGUUGAUCCAAUGCAGCUAGAGUUGCUGGCCAACUCUGCCUUCCUCAAGUCCAGCAGCAAGGUUUCUUCCCCUGUCAACAAUCAUCCACUACUUCAGGAGGUUCAGCAUGUUAACACUGCAGAAAUGAACACAGUCAAGAAUCUCGAAGCUCACAGCCGCACAGAUUUUGAGCAUCAUGCAGUUAUUCAGAACACCUCACAGGGCAACAACACUGAUGCAUCCUCAACUCAAGCACAAUUGGGCACAGAAGGAGAUAUCAUUUGGCAAACUCAUUUUGCACCCAAGGAGGAUAGCCAAAGGAUUAUCCAGACGCAAGGUGUGGAUGGACAUGAGAGCCCCACUGCUUUCCAGGAGAAGACUUCUGCCUCAUCUACCUCAGAGGUUCACAGAGUCAGAAAGAGAAGAGGAAAGACUCCUCUAGUAGAAACUGAGGUUAAAGCAAAAGGGGCAGAAGAGGAGGGGCUGAACCUGCACAAGAAGGUCAAGAUACCCAAGCCUGCAAAGGGGGAAAACUGUGGCCUCAAAGCAUAGGUCAUUUGAGUUACUUCCACUAGAUUUGUCAGCUUUUGUGGAACUGAGCUAUCUUAUUGUAAUGACUAUUAUGCUUAAGGGGUCCUAUCCUUCUCUUGAUGUUAAUUGCUGGUACUUAAGGCAGACUAUCACCUAUAGACAUGUUGAACAUUAUCUAUCUUCUGAGAUGUUCUGUGCUAAGAUGUUCCUAGUUUCUGUCAUGUUUGAGUCGAGAUGUGCCAGGAGAUGCU
RNAcentral lists this ribosomal RNA (3338 nucleotides) under Triticum aestivum (bread wheat). RNAcentral's name for it is "partial small subunit ribosomal RNA". Lineage: Eukaryota; Viridiplantae; Streptophyta; Magnoliopsida; Poales; Poaceae. The record is from RNAcentral.